CAAAAGUAAUUCAAAAAGUAAAAGUGGUUUAGUUUGUGUUGUGGGGGUUGUUAGGGGCUAAAUUCACUCCUCCAUUGCGUUUACUAACCUCUGCUUGAAAAGUAUCUGUACACGGAUACCUACAGGUCUCAUUUGGCUUGUGUGUAUUUGGUACAGCAGGUUCUUCUACAGGCUUGUCUGCCCAAAAUCGUGGACAGGGAACUCAGCUCUUCUGGCUGUUAUCCAAACUAUCAAGGUGCGAAGCAGCUCCAGCCCAGCACUGGGACCACUCCGUGCAGUGCUGUGCGGGACAGUAAAUCACUUCCACGCAACUACUUAGUUUUCUGGUCAGAACAGAUGAUUUGUGUUUGACUGCUCAGCUCUUGCACAACACAACUCUGUAAUCGUGCCUUUGGCUUUCUUUAUGUUUUAGAUCAGGGUUUUUGUAUCAUUUUAUGUCUUCAAAAAGAUUUCUGACCCUUCUUGCACAUAGUGUCUUUUCCACAAUUUUGAUACACAGACAUAAGAUAAAGGACAAUAUUUGUUGUCCUUUAGAGUCCUGUGGGCUUAUCCAUAUUUAUUAAAAAAGAAAAUUGCCAGAGCUGCAAGUAUAACACUAGAUAACGAUAUGACCCUAUGCCUUAGCUCUUCAGGAAAUUGGUUUCCAACACAGUCUCAUAUUUUCUGAAAUGACAUCUUAUACAACAUCAAGUAUUUCAGGAGAGAACUGAAGGCUUAAACCUGCCAUGGUGCAAAACAUCUGGUGAAGACUUGAAAUAAAUGCUAGUCAUGUUUGAUCAAAGUAUUUACAGCACACUUGAGAUUCCUUGUUUUGUUUUUCUCCCAAACUUUUAAUUUUCUUACCAUGUCUUUUUUUCUUUUUCAGGUAAUAUGUUUUCCUUUUACUUCUCAAUAGCCAUAUUCUGAGCUCUGGCAAUGACUGCUUUCUUUUACAUUUUGAUAGAGUACUGAGGACAGAUAUGGUUGCAGCCUCCCCAAGACUCCACACAGAAUCAUCCACCAAAGUACAGCUGCCUGUCAUCUUCAACACAGUAACAGAUCAGACAUUCCAGGAAGGACAGGAAAAACAGACUUCUCCAGUCAAAGAUCAAUGACAAACUCAGAGCAGAAGUAGAUUUGUUCCCAGUAAGAAGGUACUACCUUCUUUUCCUUCCUUGGCAAUUUUCCUUCAGAAGAAUCAGUCACUGACUUCCUGGGGUUAUAUUUUCAGAGAUUUCCCUUUGAUCCUAAGAAUGUACUGGAAGCUGAUCCAACCAUAGUUAGUGUUCUCUUUUCUGGAUUAUUUAUGUGAGGCCACUGGGAGAAUUGGUGUAUUCAUUUCUCUGGCUUUUACUUUCUAUAGAUCUCAGCCUUGGAGAGCAUCUUGGAGAGCAUCUUGG
Molecule: long non-coding RNA, 1379 nt
Filed under: Parus major (Great Tit)
Lineage: Eukaryota; Metazoa; Chordata; Aves; Passeriformes; Paridae
Description: lncRNA (ENSPMJG00000013987.1)
Source: RNAcentral